Molecule: long non-coding RNA, 376 nt
Filed under: Bos taurus (domestic cattle)
Lineage: Eukaryota; Metazoa; Chordata; Mammalia; Artiodactyla; Bovidae
Description: long non-coding RNA NONBTAT015004
Source: RNAcentral
UCAGGAAGGGCUGAUGAAGUUUAAAAUUAACAAGCAUCCACCUGUAUCUGAAAAUGACACAAAUAAGUAUUUACUCCAUGUGGUCCUUUCUCAAAAAUGUGGAACAGAUAAGUUUUGUAAAUGUCUUGCAAUGUGACUGGAUUUAUUUUAUUCCUAAAACACCUCUGUCAUUUUGGACUGUGUUACCUUUAGCAGUAGUCCAUCUAUUUCCCCUUAACAACUAAGCCUAUUAUUAUAGGAGUACUUAAGUGAAGAGAUCUGGUUUUUGUAUUUUUUUAAAAAUCUGUGAGUUUUAGACUGGUCAGGGGACAAGCAGCCCACAGGAAAAUGUGGAAAAUUGUGGUGAAUGUGAAAUCUCUAAAAAGCAAAGCUGCAU